UCCGGUUUGUCACCGGCAGUCUCAUUAGAGUGCCCUUUCGUAGCAACUAAUGACAAGGGUUGCGCUCGUUGCGGGACUUAACCCAACAUCUCACGACACGAGCUGACGACAACCAUGCAGCACCUGUGCAUCACCCUCGAAGGAGCCGACUUUCAUCGGGUUGCAGAUGCAUGUCAAACCUGGGUAAGGUUCUUCGCGUUGCGUCGAAUUAAACCACACGCUCCGCUGCUUGUGCGGGCCCCCGUCAAUUCCUUUGAGUUUUAAGCUUGCGCUCGUACUCCCCAGGCGGCCAGCUUACCGCGUGUGCUUAGGCACCCAGGGCCCUGAACGGGCCCCAGACACCGAGCUGGCAUCGUUUACGGCGUGGACUAC
RNAcentral lists this unclassified non-coding RNA (372 nucleotides) under uncultured bacterium. Its description in RNAcentral is "contains 16S-23S intergenic spacer region". The record is from RNAcentral.